Non-coding RNA from Manis javanica (Malayan pangolin), 2774 nucleotides. NCBI's taxonomy places the organism in Eukaryota, Metazoa, Chordata, Mammalia, Pholidota, Manidae. The record is from RefSeq and is a predicted model, not a curated record.
GACUCGAUCUGGCUACUUCCAGCUUACAAGGGACGUCAUGGUGGAGGGGGUGGUUUAAGGCUGGUUGACAGCCAGAGGAGGCUCAGUCAGGAGGGGUUCCUGCUCAUCUGUGGCAUGGGCUUCACUGGUAGAGUGCUGUGCCACCGGUUCUUCUGGGGUUAGAGUGGAUUGGAGGACUACAUGUACAUCGUGCCAGGGUCCCUGAUGGAAGCCUCUUGGGAUGUGGGCCAGGGCUCACUCGUGACCAGCCGUCUCAGCAGGAAGGAGCAAGGACCUGCCUGGGAACUUCGGAGCUACUGGCUGCAUGAAGCCAAGCAUGUGAUGGCCACACAGCCCAUCUGCACCACAGUUGGGGGCUGCAGAGACACUCCCCACACCUCCACCCAAAUGCCCCAGCACCCCUGUGAGCAGCAGCCCCUUUCUCUGGCCAUGUGCACCCUGGCCACUACCCCCAGGAGUCGUUGGGGGCCCUGGCCAGUCCUAAACCACAUGUGACAUGGCUAACCAAGCCCAGUGCAUGGACACCCUGCCCCCGUCCCCCACAGAGACAGGGGAGGAGGUGACUGGUGCUCCAUCUGGGAGAAUAAGAGGAGUGGUGGGGGCAGGAGUGGGAGGCCGCCCCUCAGGCAGGGGACUCAGACUGUCCUGCCCGCAUUUCAAUCUCUCUGUAAGCUUUCCUACAUGAAGUUAGUAGAUUCUGACCUCUUAAAAUCUGUAUUUAGAGGAAAACAAUAAAUCUAAAGUUGCAGGACUCGGAUAUCUACUGUGUGUGCCACGGACAUGCCAGAAAUCAGGUGCUCAAGGGCUGCCUGUGACCCAGUGCCCCAGGCCUAAGGUUCAUGGAGUGAAAAUAAGUCCCAUAUGAACACUGCCCGUGACAAACACAGAACUGGAAACAACCUAAAUUUCCAAUUACUGAGCACUUCUAUAAAUUAUGUCAGCUCAUUUAAAUUGGGAAUCAAAAAUAACAUAAGAAUAUGGUGACAUUUGUGCAAUGAUGUAAAGUGAGGGAAAACAGAUCAACUGUUGUUUUUGAUCAACUGGAUACAAUACACACUGAUUACAACGUGAAAAAUGGGUGUGCAUGUUGACAGACAGUAGGACAAAACCAGAAAAACACAAAUAGGGGAAAUCAAUUGGUACACUGGGCAGCAGGAUGAUGUGUGAAAUCUUUUCCAUUUUAAAUUUCCUUUAGUAGCUUAGCAAGGUUUGAAUAAUGAUACUUUAACAAUAUUUGUAUCUCCUCAACUGAAACUUGCAUUAAAGGAGAAGCAGCUAGGCUGGAGGACAGGAGGAUGGUAUCUGGCUGCUCAUUCUACUGGGCAGGCAGGAAAAUACCAAUUGAUCAGAAAGAGUAAAGCAUAGCCCCUGCCUGGACCUCAAGUUUACCCUUCUGUACUCUGUAGACAGAGGGUGGCCAAGCUUCCAACGGUGGGACAGCUGGGGCUGGGGCUGGUGUCAGCCACAUGGAGUCUGAGAUGGGGAAGGAUGGCCAGCUACAGCCACCCACAUACAAAGCCAGUGAGGGAACUAAUGGUGACAGAAAAGCCAGGGCUGGUGCCAAGGCGAUGGCCCACUGCACAGCAGGAAGAGCUCCGACAGCCCAUCAAUGAUCAAGGGCAAGAUGUGAGAGCCACUGGGACCCUCAGGGCAUGGCAGUGGGAGGUGACAGGGCAGGAGCGCAUGGUACAGGGACAGCAGGAACUGAGGGAGUGAAAACCCAGGGUGCCAGAAGCCAGGAAGGGCCCACGAACUGUCAGGAUGGUGCCCCACGGGAGGGGCGGCAGAGCAAGUGGCUGCAGGCAGCAUCACCAUGGCUGGGCUCACCGCAGACUAAUCAAAUUGGAGCGUGCCAGCUCCUCAUGCCAUCAGGGCUGAAAGCUCAGUCUGCCAGAGCUCAUCCUGCACCGCCCAGAAUAUAUUGGUGAGUAACACUUCAGGCUGUGGGCAAGAAUGCCCUGAAGAGAGAAAGACAAGCCGCACACAGAGAGGAUGCCACCGCCAACCAACUGCACCAGGAAGACACACAGCUCCCAGCCCCAAAGGAGUACAGACAAAAGUCACAUGAGGCCUCUCACCCACAGUGCAACAUGGACAACCCAGAGCAUGCAGAGAUGCUGGCCUCCCCAUCCAUCAGGGAAACAUGAACCAUGGCAGUGAAGGGGAAGUGCUUUUUUCAUCCAUUCCAUGUCAAAAAUUCAGAAUCCACUGAUACCAAGGGCUGGAGAGGGUGUGGCCCAGAGGCCUCUCAAAUGUGGCUGAGGCAGCAAAGCCAGAAAUGACCUUGGAAAACUGGCUUCUCCUUACACACGGGACCUUCACAGCACAGCUCAGGAAACCAUUCCUGCGUGUACACCUAAGACAAAGCCCCAGACAUCUACCCCAGAAAACAAGUUACAAAAAACCCCUAGCAUGUUUGCAACAGCAGCCACGACCCUUAUACACAUGGGCAGAAAGUGGAAUGGAGGUGGCAUUUUUCCAUGGUGGAAUAUUAUACAGCACUGAACACAAAUUAACUCCAGCUAAACAAACAAACAAACAAAUCUGUGAAACUUCAUAACAUAAUGUGGAGUGAAAAAAAUCCAGGAGACUGCUUAUGAGAUGGCUAAUUUUAUGCAUGAGCUUGGCCAGGCCAUGGUACAUAUGUGGUCAAACAGCAGGCUACUGUCAUUGUGAAGGCAUUGUUUAGAUGAGAUUAACACUUAAAUCAGUGGACUGUCAGUAAAGCACAUUACCCUCUAUAGUGUGGGUGGGCCUUGUCCAAUCAGCUGGAU